UGGGGAAUAUUGCACAAUGGGGGGAACCCUGAUGCAGCGACGCCGCGUGAGCGAAGAAGUAUUUCGGUAUGUAAAGCUCUAUCAGCAGGGAAGAAGAUGACGGUACCUGAGUAAGAAGCACCGGCUAAAUACGUGCCAGCAGCCGCGGUAAUACGUAUGGUGCAAGCGUUAUCCGGAUUUACUGGGUGUAAAGGGAGCGUAGACGGCUGUGCAAGCCUGGAGUGAAAGGCCGGGGCCCAACCCCGGGAGUGCUUUGGGAACUGUAUAGCUAGAGUGUCGGAGAGGCAAGUGGAAUUCCCAGUGUAGCGGUGAAAUGCGUAGAUAUUGGGAGGAACACCAGUGGCGAAGGCGUCUUGCUGGACGAUGACUGACGUUGAGGCUCGAAAGCGUGGGGAGCAAACAGG
This 404-nucleotide ribosomal RNA is filed under the name uncultured bacterium. RNAcentral describes it as "bacterial SSU rRNA". It matches the Rfam family "Bacterial small subunit ribosomal RNA", at positions 355 to 776 of the family's 1533-position model. The record is from RNAcentral.